CAGGAGAUUCUAAUAAGGGCGUAUGGUGGAUGCCUUGACUGAAGAGAGCGAUGAAGGACGUGGUCUGGCUGCGAAAUGCAUCGGGGAGCUGCCAAACAAGCUUCGAUCCGGUGAUGUCCGAAUGGGGAAACCCUAUUGAGUAACCCUCAAUAACUUUGCACUAGCAAAGAGCUUACCUCGGGAAGUGAAACAUCUCAGUACCGAGAGGAAAAGAAAACAAUUGUUAUUCCCUUAGUAGCGGCGAGCGAAACGGGAGGAGCCCAAACUUAAUUGAGAUCAAGGGGAGCAUUUUUAUGUUCCUCCUGAUCUCGGUUAGGGGUUGUAAGGCGUAAGCGCUGUGUUUACACAGGAAGAGUUACAAAAUUUUUGGUUAGCAGAAUCAUCUGGAAAGAUGAGCCCCAGCGGGUAAUAGCCCCGUAUGCGAAAAUCAAAAAUCUCUUUGGCUUAUGUCCUUGAGUAACUCAAGACACGAGUAGCUUGAGUGAAUCUACCGGAACUAACCGGUAAGGCUACAUAUCUCUUCAGAUCGAUAGUGAACAAGUACCGUGAGGGAAAGGUGAAAAGAACCCCGGUGAGGGGAGUGAAAUAGACCUGAAACCAUAUGUCUACAAGGAGUCGAAGAGGGCGCAAGUCCUCGACGGCGUGCCUAUUGAAGAAUGAGCCAACGAGUUGAUGCAUUCGGCUUGCCUAAGAGGUGAACCCUCGGAGGCGUAGUGAAAGCGAGCGUGAAUAGCGCGUUUGUCGUUUGUAUCAGACCCGAAGCCAGGUGAGCUACCCAUGAGCAGGCUGAACGCUAUCGAAAGAUAGCGGGAGGGCCGAACCGGUGAGUAAUGCAACGCUCUCGGAUGACUUGUGGGUUGGAGUGAAAAGCUUAUCGAACUUGGUAAUAGCUGGUUCUCUCCGAAACAGCUUUUGGGUUGGCGUCGCGUGUUCCUUGUGGGGGUAGAGCACUGGAAGGAUUAAACAGGGCUUCGGCUCAUUAAUCCUAUCAAACUCCGAAUACCACAAAUUAAGAGCGCGGCAGUUAGUCCGUGGGGGCUAAGCUCCACAGGACAAAAGGGAAACAGCCCUAGAUCGCCAGUUAAGGUCCCUAAAUUAACGCUCAGUGUAAGCAAGGAGGUGAAGUUUCUUUGACAGUGAGGAUGUUGGCUUAGAAGCAGCCACCAUUUAAAGAAAGCGUAACAGCUCACUCACUCAGAGACUUUGCGCCGAAGAUGAUCGGGACUCAAGCGUUAUACCGAAACUGCGGGUUCGCAAUUAUUUUUAUAAUCGCGAGCGGUAGGAGAGCGUUCCAUUCCGCGAUGAAGGCAAAGGGGUGACCCAUGCUGGAGCGUGUGGAAGUGAAAAUGUUGGCACGAGUAACCGCAAUGCGGGUGAGAUUCCCGCACGCCGAAAGACCAAGGUUUCCUUCGCAAUGGAGAUCAGCGAAGGGUUAGCCGGGCCUAAGCCAAUGGCGAAAGCCGAAGGUGAUGGACACAGGGUUAAUAUUCCCUGGCUCGGACGUGGUGCGAUGAGAUGACGGAGGGUAGUAGUGUGCGCCCCUUAUUGGUUUGGGGUCAUUGCUCUGAGGGUGCUGGCGAGGUAAAUCCCGUCCGCAUAGCCCAAGGAGAGAUGAGAACUGUGCUUCGGCACGGGAAUGCACAUGAGCACGCUUUCAAGAAAAGUCUCUAAGCAUAACCACGUACGAUCCGUACCAGAAACCGACACAGGUGGUCAGGUCGAGUAGACCAAGGCGAACAAGUGAUUGCUCCUUAAGGAACUCGGCAAAAAAGCGGCCGUAACUUCGGGAUAUGGCCUGCCCCUCGCAAGAGGGGCCGCAGCGAAAGAUUCCCUGACAACUGUUUACCAAAAACACAGCUCCCUGCGAACUCGUAAGAGGAUGUAUAGGGGGUGACACCUGACCAAUGCCGGAAGGUCAAGUAUGGGGGGUACAUGGAUUUAUCUAUGUGCUGGACUAUAUAAGCCCCGGUCAAUGUCGGCGAUAACUAUAAUCGUCCUAAGGUUCCGCGUUUCUCGCAAGAGGAAUGCGGAAGGACUGGGACGAUUAUGGAGGAAGGGGUAAACAGAAAUAUCUACACUAAAAAAGCUACCUUGUGCCCGCGCAGCAAUGCGUCACGCACUUGUCCAAAACAUGACUAUAUGAUGAUGGGUCCGAAACCGAUCAUCAGGCAACCCUGAGCGCAAGCGACUGGGGGCCAGAGAGACUAUACGCCAUGUGCCCUGAACGAAAGUGACGGGUGAAGAAAUAGUCCAACGUAAAGGAAUAGUUGAGCGUAAUUCCUUGUCGGGUAAAUUCCGACGUGCACGAAUGGUGUAAUGAUUGGGGAACUGUCUCAAGGAGCAGCUUGGUGAAAAUACAGUACCGGUGAAGAUGCCGGUUACCUGCAGCUAGACGAAAAGACCCCAGAAGCUUUACUGCAGCUUCAUAUUGGGGAUACGAGGAUACUGCGUAGCAUAGGUGGGAGAGGUUGAAGUGAUCCUUUAGGGGGUCAUGGACUCGUCAGUGAAAUACCACUCUUUAUUCUUGUAUCUUCUAACCUGGGUAGCAAAAAUGCACAGGAACAGUAUGUGGCAGGUAGUUUAAGUGGGGCGCUUUCCUCCUAAAAAGUAACGGAGGAGCUUAUUAAGGUCACCUAGGCGCGGAUGGAAACCGUGCCGAUAGUGUAAUGGCAAAAGGUGGCUUGACUGCGAGACGUAGGUGUCAAGCAGGUGCGAAAGCAGAACAUAGUGAACCGACCUUCCGCGUUAGAUGCGGGGGGAGAUUAACCGAUAAAAGUUACUCUGGGGAUAACAGGCUAGUUCCGCCUAAGAGUCCAAAUCGACGGCGGAGUUCGGCACCUCGAUGUCGGCUCACCUUAUCCCGGGGCUGGAGAAGGUCCCAAGGGUUUGGCUGUUCGCCAAUUAAAAAGGUACGCGAGCUGGGUUCAGACCGUUCAGGAUGCGAGAGCUAAGGCACGCAAGUGCACGCUCACAUUCGUGUCCUGAACACGUCUGAACUCCGAGGAAUACUUAGUUAGACAAUUCACGGCGGCUCUCUAUAGAAAUACAGAGAUGCAUGUCUGACAUAUUUCGGUAGACGCAACCACGACCUAACCUGGCGUGGGUAAAGCAAUACCGAGGGAAUCUUGAGCGAAAGCGAGAGAGCCCGUAGAGACUACACGUCAGAUACCUGACUUCGUGCAAACGAAAAGGUAAAGAUAUAGUCCAGUACAUAACACAAUCAGUAUGUAUAGCGUGAGACAGGUUGGUCUUAAUCUGCUGCAGGCGUUGAUUUUUGAAGAGUUUCGUCCCUAGUACGAGAGGACCGGGAUGAACUGACCUCUGGUCUGUGAGCUGUCGCUACCCGCGGCAUUGCUCAGUAGCUAUGUCGGGAACGGAUAAACGCUGAAAGCAUAUAAGCGUGAAACCGCCUCUAAGAUAAGAAAUCAUUUGAGACCCGUGAGAGAUGAUCACGUUGAUAGGCACUAGGUGGAAGUGCAGUAAUGCAUUGAGCCGAGGUGUACUAAUUCGUCGAAGAAACUCCUGUU
This 3527-nucleotide ribosomal RNA is filed under the name Minisyncoccota bacterium. RNAcentral's name for it is "23S ribosomal RNA". It matches the Rfam family "Bacterial large subunit ribosomal RNA". The record is from RNAcentral. Lineage: Bacteria; Bacillati; Minisyncoccota.